GUAACAAGGUUUCCGUAGGUGAACCUGCGGAAGGAUCAUUACCGAGUGCGGGCUGCCUCCGGGCGCCCAACCUCCCACCCGUGACUACCUAACACUGUUGCUUCGGCGGGGAGCCCUUUCGGGGGCGAGCCGCCGGGGACUACUGAACUUCAUGCCUGAGAGUGAUGCAGUCUGAGUCUGAAUAUAAAAUCAGUCAAAACUUUCAACAAUGGAUCUCUUGGUUCCGGCAUCGAUGAAGAACGCAGCGAACUGCGAUAAGUAAUGUGAAUUGCAGAAUUCAGUGAAUCAUCGAGUCUUUGAACGCACAUUGCGCCCCCUGGCAUUCCGGGGGGCAUGCCUGUCCGAGCGUCAUUGCUGCCCAUCAAGCCCGGCUUGUGUGUUGGGUCGUCGUCCCCCCCGGGGGACGGGCCCGAAAGGCAGCGGCGGCACCGUGUCCGGUCCUCGAGCGUAUGGGGCUUUGUCACCCGCUCGAUUAGGGCCGGCCGGGCGCCAGCCGACGUCUCCAACCAUUUUUUUCAGGUUGACCUCGGAUCAGGUAGGGAUACCCGCUGAACUUAAGCAUAUCA
This 566-nucleotide unclassified non-coding RNA is filed under the name Aspergillus puulaauensis. RNAcentral's name for it is "sequence contains 18S rRNA gene, ITS1, 5.8S rRNA gene, ITS2, 28S rRNA gene". The stretch from base 198 to 351 matches the Rfam family "5.8S ribosomal RNA". Lineage: Eukaryota; Fungi; Ascomycota; Eurotiomycetes; Eurotiales; Aspergillaceae. The record is from RNAcentral.